UAGGGAAUAUUGGACAAUGGGCGCAAGCCUGAUCCAGCCAUGCCGCGUGAGUGAAGAAGGCCCCCGGGUUGUAAAGCUCUUUUGUCCGGAAAGAAAAGCAUCGGGUUAAUACCCCGGUGUUCUGACGGUACCGGAAGAAUAAGCACCGGCUAACUUCGUGCCAGCAGCCGCGGUAAUACGAAGGGUGCAAGCGUUACUCGGAAUUACUGGGCGUAAAGCGUGCGUAGGUGGUUCGUUAAGUCUGAUGUGAAAGCCCUGGGCUCAACCUGGGGAUGGCAGUAGAAACUGGCGGACUGGAGUGCGGUAGAGNGUAGCGGAAUUCCCGGUGUAGCAGUGAAAUGCGUAGAGGUCGGGAGGAACAUCCGUGGCGAAGGCGGCUACCUGGACCAGCACUGACACUGAGGCACGAAAGCGUGGGGAGCAAAC
This 426-nucleotide ribosomal RNA is filed under the name uncultured bacterium. Its description in RNAcentral is "bacterial SSU rRNA". It matches the Rfam family "Bacterial small subunit ribosomal RNA", at positions 355 to 773 of the family's 1533-position model. The record is from RNAcentral.